GACGCAGCUCGGCGAACGGCUCAGUAACACGUGGGUAACCUACCCUAUGGUCUGGGAUAACCUCGGGAAACUGAGGGUAAACCCAGAUAGAGUAAGCUUGCUGGAAUGCAGCUUACUCAAAAGGCAACGCCAUAGGAUGGGCCUGCGGCAGAUUAGGUAGUUGGUGGGGUAACGGCCCACCAAGCCGAUGAUCUGUACGGGCAAUGGAAGUUGGAGCCCGGAGAAGGGGACUGAGACAAGGCCCCUAGCCCUACGGGGUGCAGCAGACGCGAAACCUUCACAAUACGCGAAAGCGUGAUGAGGGGACUCCAAGUGCUCAUGGGAAACCAUGGGCGUUUGUCAAGUGUAAACAGCUUGACGAAUAAGGACCGGGCAAUGCCCGUGCCAGCCGCCGCGGUAAUACGGGAGGUCCAAGUGGUAUCCACGUAUAUUGGGCUUAAAGCGUCCGUAGCUGGUCCAGCAAGUUUCUAGUGAAAGCUCGCGGCUUAACCGUGAGAAUUGCUAGAAAUACUGCUGGACUUGGAGGCGGGAGAGGCCAGGGGUACUUCCANGGU
RNAcentral lists this ribosomal RNA (554 nucleotides) under uncultured archaeon. RNAcentral describes it as "bacterial SSU rRNA". It matches the Rfam family "Archaeal small subunit ribosomal RNA", at positions 70 to 627 of the family's 1478-position model. The record is from RNAcentral.